This 303-nucleotide ribosomal RNA is filed under the name uncultured bacterium. RNAcentral's name for it is "partial 16S ribosomal RNA". It matches the Rfam family "Bacterial small subunit ribosomal RNA", at positions 510 to 808 of the family's 1533-position model. The record is from RNAcentral.
AGCAGUAGCGCGGUAAUACAGAGGGUGCGAGCGUUAAUCGGAUUUACUGGGCGUAAAGCGUGCGUAGGCGGCUUCUUAAGUCGGAUGUGAAAUCCCUGAGCUUAACUUAGGAAUUGCAUUCGAUACUGGGAAGCUAGAGUAUGGGAGAGGAUGGUAGAAUUCCAGGUGUAGCGGUGAAAUGCGUAGAGAUCUGGAGGAAUACCGAUGGCGAAGGCAGCCAUCUGGCCUAAUACUGACGCUGAGGUACGAAAGCAUGGGGAGCAAACAGGAUUAGAUACCCCAGUAGUCCCUGUCUCUUAUACA